Molecule: long non-coding RNA, 127 nt
Organism: Caenorhabditis elegans
Lineage: Eukaryota; Metazoa; Nematoda; Chromadorea; Rhabditida; Rhabditidae
Gene: linc-2
Product: ncRNA
Source: Ensembl
AUUUUUUCACGUCACUAAUCAAUAUUUUCCAGAUACGCCGGACUCGACUCGAAAGACAGCGCGCAGACUGUUUGGUGCGAGAAGAGGCGGACCUCAGACGGUGUGCAGUCACCCUUUAAAAAAUAUA